Molecule: unclassified non-coding RNA, 337 nt
Filed under: soil metagenome
Description: partial contains 5.8S ribosomal RNA, internal transcribed spacer 2, and large subunit ribosomal RNA
Rfam family: 5.8S ribosomal RNA (bases 1-120)
Source: RNAcentral
GAUGAAGAACGUAGCGAAAUGCGAUAAGUAGUGUGAAUUGCAGAAUUCAGUGAAUCAUCGAAUCUUUGAACGCACAUUGCGCCCCUUGGUAUUCCAUGGGGCAUGCCUGUUCGAGCGUCAUUUCAACCAUCAAGCCCCCGGGCUUGUGUUGGGGACCUGCGGCUGCCGCAGGCCCUGAAAAGCAGUGGCGGGCUCGCUGUCACACCGAGCGUAGUAGAUUUUAUCUCGCUCUGGGCGUGCUGCGGGUUCCGGCCGUUAAACCACCCUUUUAACCCAAGGUUGACCUCGGAUCAGGUAGGAAGACCCGCUGAACUUAAGCAUAUCAAUAAGCGGAGGA